This 465-nucleotide ribosomal RNA is filed under the name uncultured bacterium. Its description in RNAcentral is "partial 16S ribosomal RNA". It matches the Rfam family "Bacterial small subunit ribosomal RNA", at positions 29 to 507 of the family's 1533-position model. The record is from RNAcentral.
AAUGAACGUUGGCGGCGUGGAUUAGGCAUGCAAGUCGAGCGAGAACCCCGCAAGGGGGGACAGCGGCGAAAGGGACAGUAAUGUGUAGAUUAUCUGCCCUCAGGUCCGGGAUAGCUGCGGGAAACUGCAGGUAAUACCGGAUAACAUCUCCGGAUCAAAGGUGUGAUUCCGCCUGAGGAUGAGUCUGCAUCCUAUUAGCUAGUUGGUGGGGUAAUGGCCUACCAAGGCAUUGAUGGGUAGCAGGUGUGAGAGCACGACCUGCGUCAUUGGGACUGAGACACUGCCCAGACACCUACGGGUGGCUGCAGUCGAGAAUCUUCGGCAAUGGGCGCAAGCCUGACCGAGCGACGCCGCGUGUGGGAUGAAGGCCUUCGGGUUGUAAACCACUGUCAGAGGGGAUGAAAUGCAGGUGGGUUCUCCCACCUGUUUGACAUAGCCUCAGAGGAAGAACGGGCUAAGUUCGUG